GACAGAGGGGGCAAGCGUUGUCCGGAGUUACUGGGCGUAAAGGGCGCGGAGGCGGUCUGCGGCGUCGGCGCUGAAAGCGCCCCGCUUAACGGGGCGAGGCGUGCCGAUACGCGCAGGCUCGAGGCGGGCAGAGGGUGGCGGAAUUCCGGGUGGGGCGGGGAAAUGCGUAGAGAUCCGGAGGAACGCCAGUGGGGAAGCCGGCCACCUGGGCUCGACCUGACCCUGCGGCGCGACAGCGUGGGGAGCAAACCCG
Molecule: ribosomal RNA, 253 nt
Filed under: uncultured bacterium
Lineage: Bacteria
Description: partial 16S ribosomal RNA
Rfam family: Bacterial small subunit ribosomal RNA
Source: RNAcentral